UGCAGAGGAGGGGAUCCGGCAAAUCCCGAAAAUAUUCCUUGAGGAGCGCCGCCACGUCGUGCGGACACUGAUCCACGCCGAUUUUCGACUCCCGUCCGCAGUCGAAAUCUUCUCGCAGCUUGAACGGUGACACCCGGAACACACCGAGGGUGUGGAGGCCGCUGUUCUCGAUGUGUUUUAUGCACUGCUGGACUAUCCAGGGCACCGAAUCCCAUUCGCCGGGGGUCCCGCCGCUCCCUCCGCCGUCGCUGAGUUCGAGCAUACCGGAAUCGCUGCUCGUCAACGCUCCACCUUUCGAAGCGGCGGUCGGAACUUCUAUCAAACUCGUGAAACUGGCUCUGCUGCCGUGUCUGCUGUUUCUGGUCAGACUUCCGACGUCGCUCGCUUCGCCCGCAGCCGCUGCUACCCUCGCAAUUCUGUCGUUCUCCAGGCAUUGGGACAAAGGAAUACCAAAGACCAAACCUCCGGCCGAUUCUGUGGGAUGAAAUAACGACGAACAUUGUCACAAACUUUCCAGGGACCCCGACAGAGGUAAUUCGAAAUUAUAUUCCACGCUCCCCCUCCUUCUUCUUCCCCCCAGCGCCAUUUUGUUUUUCAUUUUUUCCUCCCUUAUCCGUGCACGCGUUUUACUUCUCCGACAAACCGAAGAAAGUACUUCGCUCAACUUCGGAUCGUCGUGCCAAGAUCACGUAAUCUACGACGAAUACCUGAGCCUCGAGUAAAAUUAUAUACAUCUUUGGGAAUCGGUGGUUGUUGCAUCGGUCGUUGGAAAAGUAGAGAAAGUUUGAUCCAGAAAUCGUAGAAAGAAUCGGAGAAAAGAAAAUGGCAGCUUAUCGCAACGGCGUAUCAGGCGAAGGAAAUAUUUCAUACAAGGUGUGUUGUUAUAUUUAUACAGAAAAUAUCGUUGGCUGCGAGGAUAUAACGCGUACCGAUCACGUAUACACCUAUGCGCCGAG
RNAcentral lists this unclassified non-coding RNA (956 nucleotides) under Athalia rosae (coleseed sawfly). RNAcentral describes it as "misc RNA ENSAEAG00005010445.1". The record is from RNAcentral. Lineage: Eukaryota; Metazoa; Arthropoda; Insecta; Hymenoptera; Athaliidae.